GUCUGGUUAGCUCAAUGGUAGAGCACCGUGUAAUGCACGGGCGUUGCAGGUUCGAGUCCUGCUCCAGCA
This 69-nucleotide transfer RNA is filed under the name Trichlorobacter thiogenes. Its description in RNAcentral is "Geobacter thiogenes tRNA_Undet_???". It matches the Rfam family "tRNA". Rfam says of the family: Transfer RNA (tRNA) molecules are approximately 80 nucleotides in length. Their secondary structure includes four short double-helical elements and three loops (D, anti-codon, and T loops). The record is from RNAcentral. Lineage: Bacteria; Pseudomonadati; Thermodesulfobacteriota; Desulfuromonadia; Geobacterales; Geobacteraceae.